Hemicordylus capensis (graceful crag lizard) is the source of this 565-nucleotide long non-coding RNA. RefSeq lists it as uncharacterized. The transcript is spliced from 4 exons. Lineage: Eukaryota; Metazoa; Chordata; Lepidosauria; Squamata; Cordylidae. The record is from RefSeq and is a predicted model, not a curated record.
UAAGACUAGACAGCUAGGCAGCUAAGUGCUAAGGGAAAUUGCAGAGACCUUGGAGUUUGAACUGUGAAAUCAACGAGGAACAUUUCUUCCAGUAGCACUGCAGGUGCUGAGUGGAGGCCUCCACUCAGAAUGGCUGGGUUGGGUCUGAUCCUUCAAGUCUAAGUUGGACUCUGCAAGGGUGGAGAGAUAUCUCUUUUCCACACAAGAGAGAAUAUUAGCAAUAAGGAUGCAAUCCUCCAUCGAAUCAAGUGGUGGCAAAGCAAACUGCCAUCAGUAAGAAGCAACAAGAGAGGGAAAGGAAGCAAACCUCUGGAGAACAAGAUAGUAAGCAGAAUGGACGAGGAACCAGCAUAGACUCUUGAACAGUUGCUCUAAUUUCAAUCAAAACCACAAUCUUUAUUUUAUCUAGCCAAUUGAUUUCCAGCUUUCAUAAUCCCCGUAGAAACACAUCUCUAAUUCCAGAAACUCCACUAGUAACUUCAUCCUUGAACCAUAUAAUUUAAUCGGAUGAGCCUCUAACAUGCAAGGUAUUGUGUGUUGGAAGAACUUAUUAAAAACCCAGCUG